UAGGGAAUCUUCCGCAAUGGGCGAAAGCCUGACGGAGCAACGCCGCGUGAGUGAUGAAGGUCUUCGGAUCGUAAAACUCUGUUAUUAGGGAAGAACAAAUGUGUAAGUAACUAUGCACGUCUUGACGGUACCUAAUCAGAAAGCCACGGCUAACUACGUGCCAGCAGCCGCGGUAAUACGUAGGUGGCAAGCGUUAUCCGGAAUUAUUGGGCGUAAAGCGCGCGUAGGCGGUUUUUUAAGUCUGAUGUGAAAGCCCACGGCUCAACCGUGGAGGGUCAUUGGACACUGGAAAACUUGAGUGCAGAAGAGGAAAGUGGAAUUCCAUGUGUAGCGGUGAAAUGCGCAGAGAUAUGGAGGAACACCAGUGGCGAAGGCGACUUUCUGGUCUGUAACUGACGCUGAUGUGCGAAAGCGUGGUGAUCAAACAGG
Molecule: ribosomal RNA, 429 nt
Filed under: Actinomycetes bacterium
Lineage: Bacteria; Bacillati; Actinomycetota; Actinomycetes
Description: Actinobacteria bacterium partial 16S ribosomal RNA
Rfam family: Bacterial small subunit ribosomal RNA
Source: RNAcentral